CUCCUCGUUCCCCCGUUUUGGGUAAUCUAACAUUAGGGUUUGGGCAUCGGCGAAUUGCUUGUCCUUCAUGGCAGAUCGCAACAGCAAUUCGGCGGCGGUGACGGCGGCGGCGAAGCCGAUAUGGGUGAAACAUGCCGAGGAGGCCAAGUUGAAGAGUGAAGCCGAGAAAGCUGCCGCCGCGAAGGCUGCCUUCGAGGCUACUUUCAAAAACGUUGACCCCUCAACCGUAGCUGCUGCCGCAGCUUCGGAUAGUGAUGACGAGGAAGAGGAGGACGAAGAGAGGCUGGCCAAGAAGCCGAUCGGCCCUUUGGACCCCAACAAGUGCACGGCGGCCGGCCCUGGCAUCGCUGGCGGGACGGCCUGCGCUCCCUCCACGUUCACGGUUGUUACCAAGGACGCAGACGGUCGCAAAUUGCUCCACGGUGGGGCGCAGGUUAAGGUUAAGGUUGCUCCUGGAGUGGGAGUUGGCGGCUCCGAGCAGGAGGGGAUUGUUAAGGAUAUGAAUGAUGGGACUUAUAGUGUGACCUAUGUGGUUCCCAGCCGAGGAAAUUAUAUGGUUUAUGUGGAGUGCAAUGGGAAGCCAAUUAUGGGUAGCCCAUUCCCUGUUUUCUUCAGCACUGGUACAUCUACGGGAGGGCUAUUGGGUGUAGCUCCAUCAACUACAUUUCCAAAUAUGGUUAAUCAGACAAUGCCAAAUAUGCCAAAUUACUCUGGUUCUGUGUCUGGGGCAGUUCCUGGAUUGCUUGGGAUGAUUCCAGGUAUUACUCCAGGAGCAUCAGGUGGGGUCAUUUUACCUGGAGUUGGCUUGUCGCUUGGGGAAGUUUGUCGUGAAUAUCUUUAUGGUCAAUGUGCAAAAACUGAUUGUAAAUUCAAUCACCCCCCUCACAAUCUUCUAAUGACUGCUUUAGCUGCCACAACCAGCAUGGGAACACUUAGUCAGGUUCCUAUGGCACCUUCUGCUGCUGCAAUGGCUGCCGCUCAGGCAAUUGUUGCUGCACAAGCACUUCAAGCCCAUGCUGCUCAGGCACAGGCCCAAACUCACUCUGCAAAAGACUCUUCAGCUGAGAAAGAGACAAAGGCCAAUUCCCUUAAGAAAACUGUGCAAGUUAGCAACCUCAGCCCACUGCUAACAGUGGAUCAGUUAAAGCAACUGUUUGGUUUUUCGGGAACAAUUGUUGAAUGUAGCAUUACUGACUCAAAGCACUUUGCUUACAUAGAAUACUCAAAACCAGAAGAAGCAACUGCUGCUUUGGCAUUGAACAAUAUGGAAGUCGGUGGUCGCCCAUUGAAUGUUGAAAUGGCCAAACAACUUCCUCCAAAACCAGCCAUUUUAAAUUCAUCUACCACUUCUUCUUCUUUGCCUUUGAUGAUGCAGCAAGCUGUUGCCAUGCAACAGAUGCAAUUCCAGCAGGCUCUGCUAAUGCAACAAGCAUAUACUGCUCAACAGGCAGCUAGUCGAGCUGCAACCAUGAAGACUGCUACUGAACUCGCAGCUGCUAGAGCUGCAGAAAUUAGUAAGAAACUAAAGGCUGAUGGACUUGUCACUGAAAGCAAGGAAGAAGAUGAUAAAUCCAAGUCACAAUCUGAUACUCAAGCCAGGUCCAGGUCAAGAUCCAGAUCCAGGUCCAAAUCCAAAUCCAAGUCAAGAUCUCCCAUUAGUUAUAGGCGAAGGCGAAGAUCUCGCUCUUUCUCGCCCCUGCCACGACGGUUAAGAGGGAAUAGAUCCAGGUCACCACUAAGAUCCCGCCAUUAUUCAAGCUAUGAGGACGAGCGCCUAUCAUAUAGGGAUAGUAGGCAUGCCAUUGACAGAAGUAGAAGGAGGGAUUCUGGUAGAUCAUAUGAUCUCCGUUCACCCGUUUCAAGGAGAAAUAGGAGCAGGAGUUUAACCCCUCGAGCUAGAAAGUCAUAUCGGGAUGAUUCAAACUCACCAAAACGCCAUCAGGAAAGUCCAACGCACAGGAGACGGUCUUCUCGUGCUGAAUCUAGGUCUCCAGAACGUCGAAGGAAUAAAUCAUCCCUCAAGAGUGAUGGAAAUAAAUCAAGACAUAGACGGCGAUCAAGGUCAAACUCUGUGGAAGUCAAUCAUCCCUCCAGUGAUAAAGUUGAUGAUGAAAAACAAGGAAAAUCCAAGAACAAGAAUGAGAGACACUCGAGGUCAGUCUCACCACAGGUUGAGCCGGAUGGACAAAAUAGAUUGUCCCCUAAAAUCUACAAUGAAAGCAAACCAAAGAAAAGGAGAGACUCAAGGUCCAGAUCACCAGAAGGAAAACACCCUUCUAAUAGAAACAGAGAAGAGAAAGCUAGAGCUAGAUAUAAUGAUGAUAGAAGGUUCUCUAGGUCACGGUCUAGAUCCCCUGAAGGAAAACAUUAUACAAGUGAGAAAUUUGAUAGAAACAAAGAAGAGAAACCUAAGCAUCAUUCUAGAAAGCAUUCCAGAUCAAGGUCUAGAUCUCCCACUGAGAAACACCACUCAAGUAGUAAGCUGGACAGGAGUAGGGAAGAGAAGUCAAAGCGCCAUGAUAGAAGGAGGUCCAGAUCAAGGUCAACUGAAGCUAAGCGGCAAAGAAGUAGCAGGAAAUCUCCAAGGCAUUCAGAUGAACGCAGAUCAAGGCAUCGAAAACGGUCAAGGUCUAAAUCUCUGGAAAGCAAGCAUGGAUCUGAAAAUAAUGAUCUAAAUGGAGGAAAAGAUGAACUCACAAGGCAUGCCAAUGAGAAGCCUGGAAAGUUAGAUGGCAUCUUGGAAGCAAAUCUGCAUAGUUCUGAUUCAAUGGACUUGGAUGAUGAUAAUCUUCAUCAUGGGGAUCAUAAAAAAAGUGUGAAACCAGAGGGCAGUGACAAUGAAGGAUCUGAGUUCAGCAAUAGGGAACAAUAUCAUCCUUAAAUACUGUAAUUUGAAUAUAGAGAUACUGGUGAUUAGAGGAGUUUCUUCCAUUGGAGUAUUGGACACUGAUUCAAAGCUUUCUGAUUCCAUUUGUGUGAGGGCCAAUUUUGCGAGCAAUGUGACAGCAGAUUGUGUUGAAGCUUAGGUUUUGAGGAACCAGAUCCUAAUUUGUACAAGAGAGGGCUCCCAUAAGAGAUGUAGUGGUCACUUUUGAUUACUCGCUGUUCGUGUGACAAUUUCGCUGUGUUUGCUUUGUAUUGCAGGUGGUGGAGGCAAUUUGGAACCUGAUGAAGCAAUGAUUGUUGGUAUUAUAUUCAACAAUUGUCUUUGAACCCUUGUGGAUCAACUGUGCAAUGUUUUUUUAGCAAACUACUUUAUGAGUUUGCUGUAUGGUGGACUAUUACCUCUGUCAAGAGGUAGUGAAUUUCUUAAUUGUAUGCCCAUGUUCAUGCUGGCUUAUGUGGGCGCUUUGUCAAAUGAGUCAAACAGUUUAUCUGAUUGUAUAUGAAGGUAGUGAAUGCAACCAGGUAUUGCUGAGACGGGUAGCAUCACCAUGCUCCUUGAAUCCAAGUAUGUCCCGAGUUGCUAGGUUUCUGUUCUUAAAUUUAUGGUGAAAGUGAAUUGCUAUUUUCUAACAGCUUGCCAGAUGCUUAAGCUAUUAUGGAGCAUUAUAUCAAGACAACUGGCUUACCCUGUAAUAGUGCAACUAAAUAGGUUUUACUCAAAUAGAAAUAGUCCCUUCUUGCACUGUGGUCUAACCUUUACGGCUUUACUCCUUUCAGUCUUAACAUUUCUAGUAUAUGUGUAUGUCAUUAUAAAUUUUAGUUGCUUAGUAGUUGUAGUCCUCAGUCAUCAAAUUUCAGUUAAAGUAGUCCAGUUAUUUGAUAAGUUGACUCAUACUAUACUGUUAUUUGUCAUCCUCGAGUUUGUAAUUUUUGUUAGAUUCAAUACUUAAACUAGUAACAAUUCAAACUGA
Molecule: RNA transcript, 3857 nt
Organism: Ipomoea triloba (trilobed morning glory)
Lineage: Eukaryota; Viridiplantae; Streptophyta; Magnoliopsida; Solanales; Convolvulaceae
Gene name: serine/arginine repetitive matrix protein 2
Exons: 7
Source: RefSeq, a predicted model, not a curated record